ACACGUCGAUAAUCUGCCCUAAGGUUGAGGAUACCCACGGAAAACUGUGGCUAAUACUUGAUAUUGAAUGGAUUCUGGAAUGAAUCAUUCAUUAAACGUAAGGCCUUAGGAUGAGUCGGCGGCGGAUUAGGCAGUUGGCGGUGUAAUGGACCACCAAACCAAAGAUCCGUAGGGGCCCUGAGAGGGGUAGCCCCGAGAGGGACACUGAAAUACUGGUCCCAGCUCCACGGAGUGCAGCAGGCGCGAAACCUCCACAAUGCGCGAAAGCGUGAUGGGGGGAUUCCGAGUGCUUACAUUUUUUGUAAGCUUUUGCCAAGAGUUCACAUCUUGGAGAAUAAGUGGUGGGUAAGACCGGUGCCAGCAGCCGCGGUAACCCCGGUGCCACGAGUGGCAAUCUUAUAUUGGGCCUAAAGCAUUCGUAGCAGGUUUAAAAAAUCCUUUGUGAAAUUGUUGAACUCAAUACAACAGCGUGCAGGGGACACUUUUAGACUAGAGACUGGGAGGAGUUGGGGGUAUGCCUUGGGGAGCGGUUAAAUGUGAUAAUCCAAGGUAGACCACCUGUGGCGAAGGCGCCCAACUAGAACAGUUCUGACUGUGAGGGAUGAAAGCUAGGGGAGCGAUCCGGAUUAGAUACCCGAGUAGUCCUAGCCGUAAACACUGUGAGCUAGGUGUCGCAUAUUCUACGAGAAUAUGCGGUGUCGAAAAGAAGUUGAUAAGCUCACCGCCUGGAA
Molecule: ribosomal RNA, 731 nt
Filed under: uncultured euryarchaeote
Lineage: Archaea; Methanobacteriati; Methanobacteriota
Description: bacterial SSU rRNA
Rfam family: Archaeal small subunit ribosomal RNA
Source: RNAcentral